UACGGAGGGGGCUAGCGUUGUUCGGAAUUACUGGGCGUAAAGCGCACGUAGGCGGGUCGCUAAGUCGGGGGUGAAAUCCUGGGGCUCAACCUCAGAACUGCCUUCGAUACUGGCGACCUUGAGUACGGGAGAGGUGAGUGGAAUUCCCAGUGUAGAGGUGAAAUUCGUAGAUAUUGGGAAGAACACCAGUGGCGAAGGCGGCUCACUGGCCCGUAACUGACGCUGAGGUGCGAAAGCGUGGGGAGCAAACAGGAUUAGAUACCCCCGUAGUCC
Molecule: ribosomal RNA, 273 nt
Filed under: uncultured bacterium
Lineage: Bacteria
Description: partial 16S ribosomal RNA
Rfam family: Bacterial small subunit ribosomal RNA
Source: RNAcentral